AGUGAACGCUGGCGGUAGGCCUAACACACGCAAGUCGAACGGCAGCACAGUAAGAGCUUGCUCUUACGGGUGGCGAGUGGCGGACGGGUGAGGAAUACAUCGGAAUCUACUUUUUCGUGGGGGAUAACGUAGGGAAACUUACGCUAAUACCGCAUACGACCUACGGGUGAAAGCAGGGGAUCUUCGGACCUUGCGCGAUUGAAUGAGCCGAUGUCGGAUUAGCUAGUUGGCGGGGUAAAGGCCCACCAAGGCGACGAUCCGUAGCUGGUCUGAGAGGAUGAUCAGCCACACUGGAACUGAGACACGGUCCAGACUCCUACGGGAGGCAGCAGUGGGGAAUAUUGGACAAUGGGCGCAAGCCUGAUCCAGCCAUACCGCGUGGGUGAAGAAGGCCUUCGGGUUGUAAAGCCCUUUUGUUGGGAAAGAAAAGCAGCAGGUUAAUACCCCGCUGUUCUGGCGGUACCCAAAGAAUAAGCACCGGCUAACUUCGUG
Molecule: ribosomal RNA, 492 nt
Filed under: uncultured bacterium
Lineage: Bacteria
Description: partial 16S ribosomal RNA
Rfam family: Bacterial small subunit ribosomal RNA
Source: RNAcentral